UGCCAAUGCUGCACGCGUGUGUGUUAUAAGAAGACACACAGACACACACACACACAGACGCAGACAUGGAGCUGAUCCUGAGAGCUGCUGUUCUGCUGCUGCUGCUGUCCAGAUGUGAGGCUGCAGAGGAAACAUGUGGACUGACAGGACAAGUCAAAGAGGGACACCUGGACAAGGUGCUGGGUGUGCGUUGGGUGAUGGUGAGGGCCUUUUCUGACUUUGAGAAUGGUUUGGCUGUGCUGAGGAAAUCUCAGAGCACAGUGUUGUUGAUGGAGAUGAUGGAGGACAACGUGACGGUGGCGUGCGUGGAGAGAAAUGUGGAGUACGUGUCACAUGACUGAAUGGAGGCGUGGCCUGUGGUGGUGCUGAUGUGUGUGAUGUGUUGCAGGGCGGAGAAGUGCUUGGUGUUUUACACCAACAUGACUACACCUGAGGACAAGACGUCCAAUCACACGCUGGUGCUGAUGAACACUGGUGAGGGUCACAUGACC
Molecule: long non-coding RNA, 491 nt
Filed under: Gouania willdenowi (blunt-snouted clingfish)
Lineage: Eukaryota; Metazoa; Chordata; Actinopteri; Blenniiformes; Gobiesocidae
Description: lncRNA (ENSGWIG00000001476.1)
Source: RNAcentral